Molecule: non-coding RNA, 73 nt
Organism: Bos taurus (domestic cattle)
Lineage: Eukaryota; Metazoa; Chordata; Mammalia; Artiodactyla; Bovidae
Source: Rfam
UCCCUGGUGGUCCAGUGGUUAGAACUCCAUGCUGCCAACGCAGGGGGCCCAGGUUCAAUCCCUGGUCAGGGAA